Molecule: ribosomal RNA, 168 nt
Filed under: Parabacteroides sp. PM6-13
Lineage: Bacteria; Pseudomonadati; Bacteroidota; Bacteroidia; Bacteroidales; Tannerellaceae
Description: partial 23S ribosomal RNA
Rfam family: Bacterial large subunit ribosomal RNA
Source: RNAcentral
GUAUCUACGUUCGGAUUGGAUAAGUGCUGAAAGCAUCUAAGUACGAAGCCAGCCUCAAGAUUAGAUCUCCCUUAAGGGUUGUUGUAGACUACGACUUUGAUAGGACGCAGGUGUAAGUGCAGUAAUGUAUGUAGCCGAGCGUUACUAAUAGCCCGUGACUUUUCUGAU